RNAcentral lists this long non-coding RNA (304 nucleotides) under Androctonus crassicauda. The record is from RNAcentral. Lineage: Eukaryota; Metazoa; Arthropoda; Arachnida; Scorpiones; Buthidae.
AAAAAGGUUAGUGAAAGAUCGUAAAAGUGAUGCAUUUGUUAAAGGGUUUUUCAUGUAUCAUAGACUUCUGUAUUUAACUGAAUGUAAUAAUGGUGAGAAUACAGGUACAAAGACAUUGGAGAGCACUGAAACUGCAUUGGAUAAGAAUUAUUAUUAUUCAAGAAAUAAUAAGAAAACUCAAAAUUUAUCAAAUGCAUUCAAUUAUCUUUUUGGAGACUCACGAGUAGUAGUGGAAAGUUUAAAAUAUGAAUUUAAUGCCGAAUUAGCAAAGAAAUUGAAUAAAUUAAUUGGAGAUGAAUUAUUU